GGUACGUUCUCUCCUCCGUCUUGUGCAGACGAUGCAGCGAGCCGUGCCUAGGAUGCUUCAAUCAAGUACUGGCCAACUUCGGACCGGGCGCGGGUGCUCGUCAGGGACGACUUUGUGGAAAGCUGGGUCUCGGCGUUGCAGUGCGUUCCACAGCUGUCAAUCGUUGAGUGCUGAGAACCUUUAUCAGCCCGCAUCUCUGGCGCUGAGAACAGAGAAUCGCCAAAUCCGUCGUCUGGUAACGGUGGAGCCAGCGGGCGCGUCUCUUGGACGCACCGUGACAGGGCGCUUCCGCCCGGUUUUGGCGUUGGAACGCGUCGCUGCUGAGGCGGUCGGUCGGCUGGAAACGCGCAGCUUCACUUACCGCCGAGCUGGAUGUACUUCAGGCCUGCUCCAGCUUCUUCUGGAUGGAAAAAAAGCUCUAGAUGAUACAUAGAUUCACCGGUUGGCUCCAGUUCUGCAGAGCGUGUGAUGGAAGGCUCUCGCAGAGCUGAGCUGGCCGACAUGCUGGCUUGCUGAAACAACUACUGUACGCACCAGUGCGGUGUGUUGGUACACUGGCGGAAAAACGUGUGACGAUUCGAGAUGAAACCAGCAGUGGAUAGUUCAGGCUCUCGUGAUUAGAAUAUACGCCGUGGGACUUGAAAGUAUUUGAGCUCGUCUCCCUCAGGACAUGUGCGGCUUCCUGGGUCUGAGGUUUGGAAACGAAGGACCGCAACGAUGGGGCAUUGCGCUCUCGAGAAACAAAGCACAUUUCAUUCGCUACGUUUCCAUCAUCACGCAGAAACCAGGACGGUAAUCAGUACCGAAUAUCGGGCACUGCGCUUUGGAAACGACGCAGAUUUCGUUGGUUAUGUUUCCAUUAACACCAAGAAACCAUACUGGUCUUUGGUACUGCGGUCGAGGCUAUGACACUGCCUGUGGCCCGACAAUGCCACCAUGUUGUCGCCUGGCGGAGCACUUUCCCCUGUGAUGCCAAUGGAUAUUUUGUUCUUUUGUGCUGGGCGAUCGAUGAGCGUACCCAGAGUUCCCCGCAUGCGCAAUGAUUACCAGCAACUGCAGGAGAGAUCUUAGGCAUGGUCGGGACGCUUCGGUGUACCUCAACAUUCAGAGCAGCUUCUAUUUUCGUGCAUUCGAGCUGAAUCGAUCCAGCGUACCUUCGGGCGUUGAGUCUCGUGUAGGACGCAUGCUGCACCGGUGGACGUGCAGUCGCAGUCGCUUCGAUGGCAUCGGCUCGAUACUCCGGUGUCUGGUGGAACCUGCGCCGGCGUUCUUCGCAAGCGUGGCCCGAAUCAACAGCGAAUCCCAAAGAGUCCAGCAAGGACGCGUCCACAAAUCUAAAGCGUAGCAUCCAGUGUUCUACCAAAAAGUGCCAACCUUUGCCUGGUACACGGCGCUGGAUCCCAGGAGCAGGCAUGAACAGCACCGGCCUGUUUAAGAGUCCUCGAGUUCUGGCUCCGUGUUCAACCUCAUAAUGCGCAGCACUAGCGCAACUUUUUUGCCUGCAGCAAUGCGAAGGAAAAGCGAUAGUCGCAAAUGUGGUAUUCUUGAAAGGCCAUAAUUUUUACCGCAUACGCAGAUACCGUGAAAGCGUGCUGAGAAGCUAUCUCAGGAAAUGCACCGGAACACCCGGAACUCAACUGCAAUAUUCCCCAGCAUAUUCUAGUGGAACGUGCAUACCAACCAAAAUUCGAUAUCCAAGCAACGACAGGUUGCAGAGCGCAGACGCACCAAGUUCCGCGCUUGCCGCACGAGUCUGAAUUUGAAUGCCACUGAUCCGCCCAGCUGGACAACGCAUUCGCGCUGCAAACGCUGAGCGAGCUGGUACCGGUGCCCGCAACGUUUAAACUGUGCUGAGCAGCGC
RNAcentral lists this unclassified non-coding RNA (1861 nucleotides) under Cyanidioschyzon merolae strain 10D. RNAcentral's name for it is "hypothetical transcript". Lineage: Eukaryota; Rhodophyta; Bangiophyceae; Cyanidiales; Cyanidiaceae. The record is from RNAcentral.